GUGCCAGCCGCUGCGGUAAUACGGAGGGUGCAAGCGUUAUCCGGAUUUAUUGGGUUUAAAGGGUCCGUAGGCGGAUCGGUAAGUCAGUGGUGAAAUCUCAUAGCUUAACUAUGAAACUGCCAUUGAUACUGUCGGUCUUGAGUGUAUUUGAAGUAGCUGGAAUGAGUAGUGUAGCGGUGAAAUGCAUAGAUAUUACUCAGAACACCAAUUGCGAAGGCAGGUUACUAAGAUACAACUGACGCUGAUGGACGAAAGCGUGGGGAGCGAACAGGAUUAGAUACCCUGGUAGUCCACGCCGUAAACGAUGCUAACUCGUUUUUGGGUUUCGACUCAGAGACCAAGCGAAAGUGAUAAGUUAGCCACCUGGGGAUACGUUCGCAAGAAUGAAACUCAAAGGAAUUGACGGGGCCCGCACAAGCGGUGGAUUAUGUGGUUAAUUCGAUGAUACGCGAGGAACCUUACCAAGACUUAAAU
This 474-nucleotide ribosomal RNA is filed under the name uncultured Chryseobacterium sp. RNAcentral describes it as "bacterial SSU rRNA". It matches the Rfam family "Bacterial small subunit ribosomal RNA", at positions 505 to 986 of the family's 1533-position model. The record is from RNAcentral. Lineage: Bacteria; Pseudomonadati; Bacteroidota; Flavobacteriia; Flavobacteriales; Weeksellaceae.